Molecule: long non-coding RNA, 414 nt
Filed under: Gossypium barbadense (sea-island cotton)
Lineage: Eukaryota; Viridiplantae; Streptophyta; Magnoliopsida; Malvales; Malvaceae
Description: long non-coding RNA (GBAR_LNC020075)
Source: RNAcentral
GUGGCUUCUUUGGAGGUUCAUGUACGGGUGAUUUGGGUUUUGACUUCUCUUUCUUUGGAGGUUCAUGGACUGGUGGUUUAGGUUUAUAUGCUGGAGGCUUCUUUAGAGGUUCAUGGAUUGGUGGCUUCUUUGGAGGUUCAUAUAUCGGUGGCUUGUGUUCUGGUUUCUCUUUCUUUGGAGGUUCGUGAACUGGUAGCUUUGGUGGUUUAGGUUCAUGAAUCGGUGGCUUCUUUGGAAAUUCAUGGAGUGGUGGUUUAUGUUUAUACAUUGGAGGCUUCUUUAGAGGUUCAUGGAUUGAUGGCGUAGGUUUAUACAUUGGAGGCUUAUUUGGAAGUUCAUCUGAUGGUGGCUUGUGUUCUAGUUUCUUUUUUUUUGGAAGUUUAUGGACUGGUGGCUUAGGGUCAUAUGUUGGAG